Molecule: ribosomal RNA, 621 nt
Filed under: uncultured bacterium
Lineage: Bacteria
Description: bacterial SSU rRNA
Rfam family: Bacterial small subunit ribosomal RNA
Source: RNAcentral
CCUACGGGAGGCAGCAGUGAGGAAUAUUGGACAAUGGGCGCAAGCCUGAUCCAGCCAUGCCGCGUGCAGGAUGACGGUCCUAUGGAUUGUAAACUGCUUUUAUACGAGAAGAAACACUCCGACGUGUCGGAGCUUGACGGUAUCGUAAGAAUAAGGAUCGGCUAACUCCGUGCCAGCAGCCGCGGUAAUACGGAGGAUCCAAGCGUUAUCCGGAAUCAUUGGGUUUAAAGGGUCCGUAGGCGGUUUAAUAAGUCAGUGGUGAAAGCCCAUCGCUCAACGGUGGAACGGCCAUUGAUACUGUUAAACUUGAAUUAUUAGGAAGUAACUAGAAUAUGUAGUGUAGCGGUGAAAUGCUUAGAGAUUACAUGGAAUACCAAUUGCGAAGGCAGGUUACUACUAAUUGAUUGACGCUGAUGGACGAAAGCGUGGGUAGCGAACAGGAUUAGAUACCCUGGUAGUCCACGCCGUAAACGAUGGAUACUAGCUGUUGGGAGCAAUCUCAGUGGCUAAGCGAAAGUGAUAAGUAUCCCACCUGGGGAGUACGUUCGCAAGAAUUGAAAACUCAAAAGUAGUAAGUUACGGACGGNGAGAGAGACGACGACGGACGACGAGGAGGAGGAG